GAUAAUGUAAGAAUAAUAGCACAGUAGUACUAGUGCAUCAACAUGCAUCAACCAUGCGACGCCGCGAGACUAUCAAUGUGUACCUACAAACUUAUAACGAACAUCAAAAAUAGGAAAAACGAGAGAUCGCCGAUUUUUGAAGGAAGAAUUGAGAUGAAGACCGGAAAUGAAAGGACCUAGAGCUACUGGCAGACUUCUACUACUUGUUUAAUAUAUGUCGCGUAUUAAUAUAUUUUUCCUUUU
This is a long non-coding RNA of Bombus terrestris (buff-tailed bumblebee), 243 nucleotides long. RefSeq lists it as uncharacterized. Lineage: Eukaryota; Metazoa; Arthropoda; Insecta; Hymenoptera; Apidae. The record is from RefSeq and is a predicted model, not a curated record. The transcript is spliced from 2 exons.